CAUCACUACGCUAGAUGCAUAUCAAUAAGCGGAGGAAAAGAAACUAACAAGGAUUCCCCUAGUAACGGCGAGUGAAGCGGGAAGAGCUCAAAUUUGAAAUCUUCAAGGUUUUACCUUGACGAAUUGUAGUUUAAAGAAGUGUUUUCUGUUGGAGUUUCGGUAAAAGUUCUUUGGAAUAGGACAUCAUAGAGGGUGAGAAUCCCGUAUUUGACCAUUACUUUCCAGCUGUGUGAUACACUUUCAAAGAGUCGGAUUGUUUGGGAAUGCAGUCCAAAAUGGGUGGUAAAUUUCAUCUAAAGCUAAAUAUUGGCGAGAGACCGAUAGCGAACAAGUACCGUGAGGGAAAGAUGAAAAGAACUUUGAAAAGAGAGUUAAACAGUACGUGAAAUUGUCAAAAGGGAAGCGUUUGACACCAGUGUUGUUUAGUUGAAAAUCAAUUCAAUAAUUUUUGAUUUUAAGUAGUAUUGACUUCAUCAGCUUGCUGCUUUCUUUUCGAAAAUUAUUGAAUGCACUUUUCAGUUAACAAGUCAACAUCAAUUUCUUUUGUUGUAAAAGGGUAAGAGGAAGGUGGCUUACGCUUCGGCGUAAGUGUUUAUAGCCUUUUACCUCUGCAAUCGGAGAGAUUGAGGACAGCAGCGUAGACUCCUUCGGGGGUUAGAUACACUUGUGCUAAGCUAUAGCCUUGUAUAGACAACUUGUUGACUAUGCUCAGUCAUGUAGCUUACUCGCAUGUGCUAUUUUACCUACGCUUAGGAUGUUGACGAGACUGUCGAUCUC
Molecule: ribosomal RNA, 777 nt
Filed under: uncultured Neocallimastigales
Lineage: Eukaryota; Fungi; Neocallimastigomycota; Neocallimastigomycetes; Neocallimastigales
Description: partial large subunit ribosomal RNA
Rfam family: Eukaryotic large subunit ribosomal RNA
Source: RNAcentral